UACGUAGGGUCCUAGCGUUGUCCGGAUUUACUGGGCGUAAAGGGCUCGUAGGCGGCCAACUAAGUCAGACGUGAAAUCCCUCGGCUUAACCGGGGAACUGCGUCUGAUACUGGAUGGCUUGAGUUCGGGAGAGGGAUGCGGAAUUCCAGGUGUAGCGGUGAAAUGCGUAGAUAUCUGGAGGAACACCGGUGGCGAAGGCGGCAUCCUGGACCGGCAUUGACGCUGAGGCGCGAAAGCUAGGGGAGCAAACGGG
RNAcentral lists this ribosomal RNA (253 nucleotides) under uncultured bacterium. Its description in RNAcentral is "partial 16S ribosomal RNA". It matches the Rfam family "Bacterial small subunit ribosomal RNA", at positions 524 to 776 of the family's 1533-position model. The record is from RNAcentral.